This 75-nucleotide transfer RNA is filed under the name Rhodomicrobium vannielii ATCC 17100. Its description in RNAcentral is "tRNA-Glu (TTC) (tRNA-Glu-TTC-1-1)". It matches the Rfam family "tRNA". From Rfam's summary of the family: Transfer RNA (tRNA) molecules are approximately 80 nucleotides in length. Lineage: Bacteria; Pseudomonadati; Pseudomonadota; Alphaproteobacteria; Hyphomicrobiales; Hyphomicrobiaceae. RNAcentral also lists the same sequence under 8 other names. The record is from RNAcentral.
GCCCCCUUCGUCUAUCGGUUAGGACGCAAGAUUUUCAAUCUUGAAAGAGGGGUUCGACUCCCCUAGGGGGCGCCA